AGCUUGCACUCUGGACUUAUGGGCUCUACUGGGCUUCACUUAGGAGCAUGACAAGCAGGAGGACAGCACUGAAGCAUAUUAACACUCUCCAACCUUAAGUCUGCUUUCUCUAAGCAGCAUAGACUAUUUUUAAGUGGACACCUAUGGCAACCCUGGAUACCUGUGAGACAUCACCUCACUCCCUGCCCCUGAGGAUGCUGGUGAUCCAGGUGUGAUAAAAUGGUCUCUUGGACUUUACUAAGUUGCUAUUGCUGGAGAUUAACUUUGCCCUGUCAACCUCCAGGGUUUCUCCCCUGUGCUUCAAGCAAAGCUCAGCCAAGCUGAGGAAUCAAACUGUGUCAAACAAGGCUGCAGCAGGGGGUAUGAGGUUGACUAUGGCUCUGGAGUUGAGCAACAGAAGUGGAGGGAAGUUGGCAACAAGAGAAAGAUUGUUUUCAGAGGAAGAGACAGGGAAGCCGUGAGGCAGGGAGUCAGGAGAUGCAGGUGGCAUGGAGAUGUAGGAGAGGAAGGCAGGCACAGAAAAUUAGAGGACAACAUGUACUGUGACUUGACUUGCAGGGUGAUCACAAGCAUUGGACAUGAUAAAAAUACAGCUUUUGAAGAAACAGAGAAGAGUUGGGGAGGAUUUGGCUGAGAGACACUGGGUGAUUGUUCUAGAUAGAGACAAAUUACACAUGGUAUUGUCUUCUUUGUGCUUAAUUUUUAAUGAUGUUGUGGGCACUACACAAAUUGUUAGAAAAGCUGGUAAGAAACUAAAUCAAGAUUUGACUUUCAAGUGCACCACUGACCCACAGACUUUGCGUGUCCUUGGGCAAAAUGCUGUCUCCUUUUUUUUCUUCCUCUCACUGCUUCAUCUGUAAAACCGAGAUAACACUACUUCUUUUAUCACAACCUAUUUACAUAAUAAAAGCCUUUCCAUGCA
Long non-coding RNA from Neopsephotus bourkii (Bourke's parrot), 922 nucleotides. RefSeq lists it as uncharacterized. The record is from RefSeq and is a predicted model, not a curated record. Lineage: Eukaryota; Metazoa; Chordata; Aves; Psittaciformes; Psittacidae. The transcript has 2 exons.